RNAcentral lists this transfer RNA (77 nucleotides) under Aestuariivita sp. RNAcentral's name for it is "tRNA-Pro". It matches the Rfam family "tRNA". From Rfam's summary of the family: Transfer RNA (tRNA) molecules are approximately 80 nucleotides in length. Their secondary structure includes four short double-helical elements and three loops (D, anti-codon, and T loops). The record is from RNAcentral. Lineage: Bacteria; Pseudomonadati; Pseudomonadota; Alphaproteobacteria; Rhodobacterales; Paracoccaceae. RNAcentral also lists the same sequence under 2 other names.
CGGAGUGUAGCUCAGCCUGGUAGAGCACUGUCUUCGGGAGGCAGGGGUCGUGAGUUCAAAUCUCGCCACUCCGACCA